Molecule: non-coding RNA, 180 nt
Organism: Klebsiella pneumoniae subsp. pneumoniae
Lineage: Bacteria; Pseudomonadati; Pseudomonadota; Gammaproteobacteria; Enterobacterales; Enterobacteriaceae
Source: Rfam
UCGUGUAGCUAAUGUGGGUGUGUGGUGAAUCCCCCUGUGCGGUGGGGCGACCAGUCAAUUUUUUCUUUGAGCACACACGCGGGUCUGUUGACUGGGGCAGACUUACCGGGAGGCACCCGGCACCACACAUACUGCAUAACCCCCUAAAGGCCUUCCAUUGCGGCAGGCCUUUUAUCUUGC